GAUGUUUUAUCUAUUAUUUUGCCUACUAGCCUAGUAUUCUUGUGGAACUUAGGUUUCGUGGAAGAGUUGUAGUAAUUGUGUGUUACAGAUUCUGUUUCUACAUGCCUACGCUGCAUCACACUCACACUCUUCCUCUUUCUCUGUCUCCAAGUGUGAAGCUGUCUCAACUCGAGUGAAUGUCUCUCUGAAGCAGCAUAGCCACUGGCCAGAUCGGCGAUUCCGACGACACUGGUCUUUUUCUCAUCAAAAAAUCCCUAAAAUCCCCGCUGGUACAGUCGCCGCUGGUGCCAACCAGAUUUAUCUGCGAUUCCUAGGCCGCUUCCUACAUCGGACUUCGCAAUCACAAGGAGAUACUGUUCAUUGGAUCUCAUUCCAUACUUGGGAGGGCAGUUGUUGUGAAUGCUAAUCUUGAUGAUUUGAAAGCAUGAAAGGCCAUUGGUUUAAAGCUAUGUGUAUCUCUAUAAGAUCUAGCUGACUAUUGUGUUUUGCUUGGUGAGGUGUGCGUGUAAAAGAACUCCUCAAAACAAUUUGGAAACCAACUUUGGCAUAUCAACUCCUGAAUAAGCAAUGUUACAGCAAAUUUAAUUUGUAUAAGAGGCUUUCUCUCUUGGGGCUGCAGUAAUAAAAUUAGAGAAGUGUUGUGGUUUGAUUCUUGUUAACAGGAAAAAAAUUUAGCUUUAGCUGGCUAAAAGUUUAAUGUAUCUUGUGAGAAAAGGUUUUGAAGCAUUCCAUGAUCAAUUGAAGCGCCGUGUAUCUUGAAGUCAGCCUAGGCUAAUUUUCAGUUUUAGUGAAACAUUGAAUGUAUUCUCUAAUUUUAACACAUAAAAGUUUCCUUAUUUAUUUAUACAACAAUCUUUCAAGAA
Quercus lobata is the source of this 863-nucleotide long non-coding RNA. RefSeq lists it as uncharacterized. The transcript is spliced from 2 exons. The record is from RefSeq and is a predicted model, not a curated record. Lineage: Eukaryota; Viridiplantae; Streptophyta; Magnoliopsida; Fagales; Fagaceae.